Molecule: ribosomal RNA, 489 nt
Filed under: uncultured bacterium
Lineage: Bacteria
Description: partial 16S ribosomal RNA
Rfam family: Bacterial small subunit ribosomal RNA
Source: RNAcentral
AUUGAACGCUGGCGGCAGGCCUAACACAUGCAAGUCGAACGGUAACAGGAAGCAGCUUGCUGCUUCGCUGACGAGUGGCGGACGGGUGAGUAAUGUCUGGGAAGCUGCCUGAUGGAGGGGGAUAACUACUGGAAACGGUAGCUAAUACCGCAUAAUGUCGCAAGACCAAAGAGGGGGACCUUCGGGCCUCUUGCCAUCGGAUGUGCCCAGAUGGGAUUAGCUUGUUGGUGGGGUAACGGCUCACCAAGGCGACGAUCCCUAGCUGGUCUGAGAGGAUGACCAGCCACACUGGAACUGAGACACGGUCCAGACUCCUACGGGAGGCAGCAGUGGGGAAUAUUGCACAAUGGGCGCAAGCCUGAUGCAGCCAUGCCGCGUGUAUGAAGAAGGCCUUCGGGUUGUAAAGUACUUUCAGCGGGGAGGAAGGGAGUAAAGUUAAUACCUUUGCUCAUGGACGUUACCCGCAGAAGAAGCACCGGCUAACUCCGU